CGGAGGGUGCAAGCGUUGUCCGGAUUUAUUGGGUUUAAAGGGUGCGUAGGCGGCCCGUUAAGUCAGUGGUGAAAGCCUCCAGCUUCAACUGGAGAACUGCCAUUGAUACUGACGGGCUUGAGUACAGACGAGGUUGGCGGAAUUGGAUUGUGUAGCGGUGAAAUGCAUAGAUACAAUCAAGAACUCCGAUUGCGUAGGCAGCUAACUAGGCUGUAACGUGACGCUGAGGCACGAAAGCGUGGGGAGCGAACAGGAUUAGAUACCCUGGUAGUCCACGCUGUAAACGAUGAUUACUCGAUGUUCGGCGAUAAACUGUCGGCGUCUUAGCGAAAGCGUUAAGUAAUCCGACCUGGGGAGUACGCCCGCAAGGGUG
RNAcentral lists this ribosomal RNA (373 nucleotides) under uncultured organism. RNAcentral describes it as "bacterial SSU rRNA". It matches the Rfam family "Bacterial small subunit ribosomal RNA", at positions 526 to 896 of the family's 1533-position model. The record is from RNAcentral.